This is a long non-coding RNA of Mus musculus (house mouse), 5666 nucleotides long. RefSeq annotates it as predicted gene, 30149. The record is from RefSeq and is a predicted model, not a curated record. The transcript has 3 exons. Lineage: Eukaryota; Metazoa; Chordata; Mammalia; Rodentia; Muridae.
UUAUAGAAAGUCAUAAAUCAAAGCAAGUUUAAAAUGCAUUGGUAGGUACACCAGAGGCAGGUACAAUGAGAUGGUAUGUGUGCGAGUGUACGUGGAUGUGUGUGUGUGUGUGUGUGUGUGUGUGUGUGUGUGUUAGGUACCUAUCCCAACCCGCGGGGCCUAGUUAUUCAGGGGAUCAAAGGGGACCAAGCCUGAAAGAGAAACGGGUGAGAAAAGGGAGCAAGACCAAGCAAAGGGUUGUCAAGGUCUACUUUAAUGGAAGCUGAAAGCCUGAUUAUAAGCACACAGUGAGAGGAAAUAGGGAGGGGCUGAGGGGGAAUGAUCAAAGCACAGAGAGAGGGACCAACAUCUGGGGCAGAUGCUGAGUGCAGGCUUGAAACAUUUUGUGGCUUAUCUUUGGAUGCUGGAUCCACCCAAACAGCCCCAGGUGUCUGGCCAGGACAAGGGUCAGUUGGUUCUCAUGAUCAGCUGAUCAGCCUUGUGUGAAGGAGGGGUGGCUUGGCUCCCAACAAAGGGUCAAUUGAUUCUCAGGGUGGGAGCUGUUGAAGGUCUGGUUUCCCACAGUCUGGUCUCCUACAGGUACCUAAGGGAGACAGAAAAGGCACUGGAACCCUGGAUCUGUAGCUGGGGUUGUGGGUGGUUUCGAGCUGCCCUGUGCGCGCUGGAACUGAGCCAGGGUCCUCUGCAAGAAAAGCAAGUGCUCUGAACCACCAACUCCUUCCUCUCUCUGGACCUGUCUUUCUUUCCUUCUUUUUAAAAAUGACUUAUUUAUUUUUAUUUUACGCUCAUUGGUGUGUUUGCCUGUAUAUAUGUCCUUGGGAGGGUGUAGGAUCCCUUAGAACUGGAGUUACAGACAGUUGUUGUAAGCUCCCGUGUGCGUGCUGGGUAUUGAGUUUGAGUCUUCUGGAGAUAUAUAGUCAGUGCUCUUAACUGCUGAGCCACCUCUCCAGCCUUCCAUCUUUCCUUUGAUAAGCGACUUUAUAGGGUAGCUGUCGAGGUGCCUCAGAUGGAAUUACACAGAUAAAGUCAAACCAGAAGCUAGUAGAGUGGCUGGAAGGCCUUAGAACAUGUCCUGUCCUUAUAACAGUUUUUCUCGUGAGAUCUGUAGAACAAAUAGGUUUAUGGUUGGGCAGGGAGAAGGGGCUAAGAAGUUGCUAACUUUUCUGGAAUUCUUGCUUUUCUGCUGGCAAGUGGCUUCAACUAGAUACCUUGAUAAGGAUUCCUGUCCCCUGAUCAAUCAUGUUACCUUCACUUUCCCAGUAUAUUUCUUUCCUUUCUUCUUCUUCUUCUUCUUCUUCUCCUUCUUCUUCUUCUUCUUCUUCUUCUUCUUCUUCUUCUUCUUCUUCUUCUUCUUUUUUUGAGACAGGUUUUCUCUGUAUAGCCCUGGCUGUCCUGGAACUCACUUUGUAGACCAGGCUGGCCUUGAAAUCCACCUGCUUCUGCCUCCCAAGUGCUGGGAUUAAAGGCAUGUACCACCAUAGCCAGGAUUUUCUUUCUUUCUUUCUUUCUCUUUCCUUUCCUUUCCUUUCCUUUCCUUUCCUUUCCUUUCCUUUCCUUUUCUUUCUUCUUCUUUUUUGUUUUUGUUUUGUUUUGUUUUGUUUUGUUUUGUUUUGUUUUGUUUUGCUUUGCUUUGUUUUUUGAGACAGGGUUUCUCUUUAUAGCCCUGGCUGUCCUGGAACUCACUGUGUAGGCCAGGCUGGCUUUGAAAUCAGAGAUCCCCCUGCCUCUGCCUCUCAAGUGCUGGUUUUGAAGGUGUUUGUCACCACACUGGAUCUCCCUUGGGCAAUCUUAGUGGCUUCCAAUUUUUGCUUUUUUGGAUCAUAAUCUCCUCUAAGACAUCUUUGGGACCACCCUAUAUUCUCAGAGUGAGGGGAGGGGAAGAAAGAGAAGGAAAAAGAACAGUUUCUUGGCAAACUUUUGAAAUGUAACCUAAGAGCCACCAAAAUGAUACAUAAGGCUGGGACAAUAAGCCAUCACUCUCUCCUGGGUAGCAUACACCCAGUACAUGUUUCUUCCUGGGCACUUGUCUUUUUGAACACUUCAAGCCUAUGUUGAAAAACAUUUAAUAUAAUUUCCAACCCUGCUUCAAGCCAGUUAUGUCUGAAAUUUUUUUCUGGUAUAGGAAUCCUGGCUUGGCCUGAGUUGAAGUCUCUAAAAGAUUAGAAGUUCUCAGGCUGCUGAGGGUGACAAUUCGGCACUGUCCCCUCAUUUAGGAUAUACUGACCAGGAAAUGGAAAUAAGGCACCUCUAUGAACUUUAGCAGCUGCCUCAGAAAUUUAAUUUUAGUAUGCGUGGGACCAUCUUCCUCAGCUAUAUGUGGUAGGGCUGUGUUCAUCCUGUUUGGCUCGACACAGACCUCUGAUAGAUUAACCACCUUGCUUGGUUAUUGUAAGUGGGGCACAGUGUAACCACUGAACUGGAUCACUCUCAGGCAGGUUAUUGUAAAUGUGAAUCUCCCAUGUGGCCAUCUCUCCAGGCAAUAGAGACUAGCCAUAGACAUUUUAGAGAGUCGAAAGCUGCCAAGGCUCUCCGUUAGGGGUUGGAGGGUGGGCAGGAUUUGCUGUUUUUAAAGAGAAAGGUGUGUAGGGAGGGCUUGGAAUCUGGAGCAAGCAGAAGUUUAUGGUAGAGGGGAGGAGAAAGUGUACAGGUCAAAAGAGCCUGGUGGCUUUCAUAUCCAUCGCAGGUGUACGCUAUUAGUGUUGAUAUGGCCCUAAGGAGCCUGGAGGUCCUGUGUUGCUUUCGUGCCUAUUACAUGUAUAUGCUAAUGGAGAACCAUUUGCAUGGAAGCCUUCAGGGAGAGAUAAGAAGCAUUUAACUCUUCCUGACAGAUGGAAACGUGUUUCACAGGUUCCUGAGGAAUGCUGAAUGGAGGCGCUUCUAUCCCUUCCAGCAAUCCUUCUGUUUACCCUGUCAGAAUUCAGCCUGAGAUGAGCCCAGUGCCAUUCUGGGACACAGUCAGUGGCACUGCCAUUUUGGAUAGUUUGGGGGUUCCCUUUGGACCUAACAGUUGUGUCGUUGCUACAAACACCACAAACCUGUUACUAGUUGAUGAGGCUCUUUUCACACAGAUUUCCUGUCUGUAAUAUAAAAAGGCUCAGAGAACCACUCCUACAUCUGGUUAGAUGUGAGACACCUGGGUAUUUAAACUGGCACCGUUUCUGCAGGCAUGCUGCAAUAAUAGUGCCCUGCCUACAAAAACAAGUAGAACCUUCAUUAAGUUUCCAGAAAAGGUGAAGCAAAUAUUUUGAUACCUGCCUUUAAGGAUUCUGGCAAGCAAAGGAAAACACCCACAUUGCUGAAUGAUAGCAUGGAUCUGAAAGACAUAAUCUCUUUUAUUUCGAUUCUUUCUGAUUCAGACCCAAAAUGAGUCCCCAUUCACAGGAUAGAGUAGACAUGUCACAGGAAACUAGCCAAGGCGGGACAAAUCUCCUGUUACUGUGGGAAUAAAGUGGCUGCAGCAGCUCACUCACACGGUAACAAUGGCAUCUCCUGGGAUUUUAUUGGGCUCCAUACUUAAUCUCCCUGCCCUAUGUCCACCCUUUCUUUUCCAGUCUCUUCUGUCUUUGGUUUUUAUUAAGAGUCAGAGUGUUUUGGAAUUCAUUCGAGGUUGUUACUUCAUGAAGAGAGUGCCUGGUGGCAUCCUGGUCUUAGGGUUUGACUUAGAAUCUACCACCCAGAUCUACACAGGACUCGUCCUGUCUUCCUUCCCUUUCUCCCCGUUCCUCCUCUUCCUUCCCCUGUCCUUCCUCCCCUCCUUCUUCCCUUCUCCUCCUCUUACUCCUCCUUCUCUCUUCUCAUUUGUUUUCUUCUUGUCCUUUGAGGCUGGCCUGGACUUCCCUUUGUAGCAGAGGCUGACCUUAGCCUGAAUCCUCCUGCUCCUACUUCACACAUGCUAAGACUGCAGUCAUGCCCUAGGUCCUUCCUGUAAGAGGUGCUGGGGGAAUCCCACCCAGGGCUUCUUGUGUACUAAGAAAGCACUCUCCUAAUUGAACCUCAUCCCCACCACCCUGAAUUUAUUUCUCUUUUCCAUUUGAAUAUUUUUCAUCUGUUUGCUGUGUUACCAGUAUUGAGGUAGAAUCCAGUCUUGUAAAUAUUAGGCAAGUGCUCUACCCCUGAGCUGCAUGCCCUGUCCCCUCCUUCUCUUCUUCCUCCUCUUCUCCCUCCUCUUCCUCAUUUUAUUUUUAAACACUGAAAAUGCAGAUAAAUAGAAUGAGGCCAAAUAAGAAGAUUUGAGAAUGUACACAUUACUCUGCUCUGUAGAGGCAGUAUCUCUGCAGAGUCUACAGAAAGAUAGCAAAAUGUCUUCAAAGUUGUGCCAGAAACCUUUGGAGCUGAGGUGUGCUUAGCCAGGCGAAGAUACUCCAUUCCCUGAGCUCCUGCGUCUCUCUUGUCCCAAAUAGCAUGAAACUAGGCCGGAGCAAGGAAGGUUGGCUUUGGAGGUUAGUGACAACAUGCUCCGUCAAAACCAGGAACGCAGAGCCUCCGAGAUGGACGGGCAGGAGUAGGUCCCUGCAGACAGGCUGGACCAUCUGGUUUCUAUUUCUGAAACUCACAAGGUAGACGGAGAAACUUGACUUCCAAAAGCUGUCCUCUGAUCUCUAUAAGGACACCGUGGGGCACACACACACACACACACACACACACACACACACAAAUCAAAGAAAUGGAGAUGAAGAAAAUCCAUAUUUGGUACAGAUCUUAUAUUUAGACAUAGCAAAUUUAUUGGCCAACUUGUUUAUUUAUACGAAUUGUAGGUAAUGUCACUAAAAUCCACUAUGCUUGCUUCCUUUUCUAUAAUCACAUCCCAGCCAUCAACUAAGGGAACACUGGCUUCUGGCCCUUUUCAUUUGUAGACAGUAGAUUUAAACCUUUGUACCCUACUGUUCAACUCAAAGGGAGCAAAUAACCUUGGCUACAGUUGCCGCGGAAGAAAGACUCUACCUCUUUGCUUUUAUACUAAGCUUUAGAAAACGUUAUGUAGAAAGGAGGAACACCCCCCCCCCUUUUGCCUGGGUUACAGACACCAUAACGCAGAGUUGGGCCGGCUCUGCGGAAACAAUGAGUCACUGAUGCCGAGGCCCAGGUGGCGUACGAAUGAGCUCUGCAGCCACUUUAACCCCUGCAGGCCCCUACUCGGCAGAGCCGCAGUGCGCACGCAGCCUGGGCUUCCAGCCUGCAGACGUCCUGGUCAGAGCAGGAGGAGCCCUGUAAGCAGGCGUGAUGUGUACACUUGAUAGAACUGCGUUGUCCUUGUGCUGACAUCAUGUCUGUGUCCCUAUAUCUCCACCUCCACCCCCACCCCCAUGCUGGCUGUUAAGGUUGUUUCAGAUCUGAAGCUCUGCGAAGCCGAACAAAAUCCAUCUGUCUUUGCUGCAGCCACACACGCUCCUCUAAGAACUCUUACGUCAUGCAGGAUGGGGGAGUCCACAGGUGGAGAAUAGAAGCCCACUGCUGCUGUCGUUUGCGUCCCUGGAGCUGAUGAGCCUGGGUUUGUUUUCAGAUGUUUGAAGCCACGCAUGUAACUUUUUCUUGAGAAAUAACUGGUGCAAGCCCUUCACAUACUUAUCGGUGGAAUCUUCUCUUGCUGGCUGUAAUGAUUUCUUCAGAUAUUACGAUUAUUAAUUCCAUUUCGUAUUGUUAAUAAAUGGGCUCUUUAGUGUUGCAUA